Molecule: ribosomal RNA, 484 nt
Filed under: uncultured bacterium
Lineage: Bacteria
Description: partial 16S ribosomal RNA
Rfam family: Bacterial small subunit ribosomal RNA
Source: RNAcentral
ACUCAAAUGAAUUGACGGGGGCCCGCACAAGCAGCGGAGCGUGUGGUUUAAUUCGACGCAACGCGCAGAACCUUACCAAGGCUUGACAUACACGAGUAAGCCGCAGAGAUGCGGCCCUCCUUCGGGACCCGUGCACAGAUGCUGCAUGGCUGUCGUCAGCUCGUGCCGUGAGGUGUUGGGUUAAGUCCCGCAACGAGCGCAACCCCCGUCGCUAGUUGAAACUCUCUAGCGAGACCGCUGCGCGAAACGCAGAGGAAGGUGGGGAUGACGUCAAGUCAGCACGGCUCUUACGUCUUGGGCUACACACACGCUACAAUGGCCGGUACAACGGGUUGCCAAGCCGCGAGGCGGAGCUAAUCCCAUCAAAGCCGGCCCCAGUUCAGAUUGCAGGCUGAAACUCGCCUGCAUGAAGGCGGAGUUGCUAGUAACCGCAGGUCAGCACACUGCGGUGAAUACGUUCCCGGGCCUUGUACACACCGCCCGU